GGUGCUCUUCCAAUCACAGGACAUCUUAUUCAUGGUCAUCAACCACCAGGGGGCGGAAGCACAGCGUCUGCAAACCUUGCUGUUGAAGAGACUGUCACAGAACAUCAUUCUGUUCCAGCAGGAGGAGCAUCAACCUGAUGUUUGGCAAACACUGAA
Long non-coding RNA from Thalassophryne amazonica, 156 nucleotides. RefSeq lists it as uncharacterized. The transcript is spliced from 3 exons. The record is from RefSeq and is a predicted model, not a curated record. Lineage: Eukaryota; Metazoa; Chordata; Actinopteri; Batrachoidiformes; Batrachoididae.